RNAcentral lists this transfer RNA (73 nucleotides) under Gemmatimonadetes bacterium SCN 70-22. RNAcentral describes it as "tRNA-Ala". It matches the Rfam family "tRNA". Rfam says of the family: Transfer RNA (tRNA) molecules are approximately 80 nucleotides in length. RNAcentral also lists the same sequence under 4 other names. The record is from RNAcentral. Lineage: Bacteria; Pseudomonadati; Gemmatimonadota.
GGGGCGGUAGCUCAGUUGGGAGAGCGCGUGCUUUGCAAGCAUGAGGUCAGGGGUUCGAUUCCCCUCCGCUCCA